UGAACCUAUAAAAAGGUAUCACUUGCUCUAAUAUCCGUCAGUUCAUUUUCAAGUUGAAAGUGCUAUAAAUAAAGCUUAUGCUAUAUUUUUAUACAUCAAAAAUGGGGAAAAAACACAAUGGUUGUUUAAUUCCUUGUACUAUUUGCUCAUUUGAUUAUUCCAAGAAUGUUUAAUUGUCACAUUCUAGAUCAUCAAAUUAAGACAAUGUCAACUGUAUGAGCUAGCUCAGGAAAUCAUGUUUACUUUAUAAGACCAUGAAGCCAACUCUUGGGAUCAAUAUGUAAGAAUGAUCAAAGAAAAUAAGCAUGGAUUGUUCAAAAGCUUGUCUUUAUUUGUGCCAUUUGUAUGGCAUUAAACAAGUUUGAUCAUCCAAUCAAAUAAAACUAGAAAUUUCGUCACUCAAACUUUUCAAGAAUGUUGCAUACGUAUUUGUGUUAGACUCUCUCAAAGAUCACUACUUUUGGAGAAUUUAACAUAUAAUGGAAACAUUUUUUAAAAUUUCAAGUAUUAUAAAUUAAAAAAAAGUCACAAAAAAAGAAGAAGAGAACUUUUGAU
This is a long non-coding RNA of Capsicum annuum, 555 nucleotides long. RefSeq lists it as uncharacterized. Lineage: Eukaryota; Viridiplantae; Streptophyta; Magnoliopsida; Solanales; Solanaceae. The transcript has 2 exons. The record is from RefSeq and is a predicted model, not a curated record.